This 45-nucleotide non-coding RNA is filed under the name Schistosoma mansoni. The record is from RNAcentral. Lineage: Eukaryota; Metazoa; Platyhelminthes; Trematoda; Strigeidida; Schistosomatidae.
AUUCAGCUGAGAAGUCCCAAGUAGGACGAAACGCGCGUCGUGGAU